This 468-nucleotide ribosomal RNA is filed under the name uncultured bacterium. Its description in RNAcentral is "partial 16S ribosomal RNA". It matches the Rfam family "Bacterial small subunit ribosomal RNA", at positions 28 to 507 of the family's 1533-position model. The record is from RNAcentral.
GACGAACGCUGGCGGCGUGCUUAACACAUGCCAGUCGAACGGAAAGGCCCUGCUUUUGUGGGGUUCUCGAGUGGCGAACGGGUGAGUAACACGUGAGUAACCUGCCCUUGACUUUGGGAUAACUUCAGGAAACUGGGGCUAAUACCGGAUAGGAGCUCCUGCUGCAUGGUGGGGGUUGGAAAGUUUCGGCGGUUGGGGAUGGACGCGCGGCUUAUCAGCUUGUUGGUGGGGUAGUGGCUUACCAAGGCUUUGACGGGUAGCCGGCCGGAGAGGGUGACCGGCCACAUUGGGACUGAGAUACGGCCCAGAGUCCUACGGGAGGCAGCAGUGGGGAAUAUUGCACAAUGGGCGGAAGCCUGAUGCAGCAACGCCGCGUGCGGGAUGACGGCCUUCGGGUUGUAAACCGCUUUCGCCUGUGACGAAGCGUGAGUGACGGUAAUGGGUAAAGAAGCACCGGCUAACUACGUG